AUGAACCAAUCCAUCCCUUUUUCCCGUGCAUAUGCAUCGGACUCGGAUGACGAUGGUCCCGAUGAAGAGGUUGAUGAGGAGGGGUUCACACCGAAGGAGGCCCAAGCAUUCAAGAAGGUAUUCGGGCGGGAUCACAAGACACCAUUGUUCAAGGAUCUUAGUCUCGCGGAUGAAGCCGUUGUGGAUGGUGGCAAAUGCAUAUCUCUUGGAGCUAGGCCAAGUUCUCACCAUGAUUUGGAAGACGGCAAGAACGAGAUAUAUCCCGGUUGUGAGUUUCAAUCCUUCUUGGAAUUGAAGAUGUGGCUCGACAACUACUCGGUUAUGCAUUAUCGUCCACAUAAAUUGGCCAACUCGAAUGUCAAUGUGCGUUACACGGUCAAAUGUGAAGUGCCAAGUUGUCCAUGGAUUGUGCGUGCAAGGCCAUGGAAAGGAGGUCCCACUUGGAGCAUAGUGAGUUGUCUACCAAAUCACAUGUGCCGGCACAAGAAUGCGGAUGGCAAGCUUGUGUACCAACAACACGGACAACUCACGUCCGAGUUCAUCGCUUAUAGGCUUUCCAACCAAAUAUCCACACUUCCAGCAAUGAGCAUCAAGAGUGUCAUUGACCUUGUGAAAGCCAUCUUUCAUUACAAGGUGAAGUACAGCAAGGCAUGGAAGGCAAAGCAAGCCGCAUUCAAGAUGUUGUAUGGAAAUUGGGAGGAAGCAUACAACUGA
RNAcentral lists this ribosomal RNA (714 nucleotides) under Triticum aestivum (bread wheat). RNAcentral describes it as "partial small subunit ribosomal RNA". The record is from RNAcentral. Lineage: Eukaryota; Viridiplantae; Streptophyta; Magnoliopsida; Poales; Poaceae.